GGGAAAGUAAAAUGCAUAGAAGAUAAUUGGUAUUUCCAGGCCUUGUGCUGACAAAUCCUAUUUGUUUUUUUGAAAGAAACAAUACAGAAUGUUUUAUAUCAAGCUGACUGCUGACAUCAUCAUGGACAUUAGUUAUCAGAGUUUCCUGUGAUCAGGGAUAAUAAGUGCUUGUCUAAUGAAACAAAGGGAAGUGAACAGAGAAGUGUAAAUGAGUAGCAAUGAGGAAAGGAAGAAAGAAGACAUUUCACCCUGAAUCCAUCUCUUCUAAGGAAUGGCCUUUGCUUACCUUGACCUUAUUGAUGAGCUACAGCUCUCAGUGCCUACUGAAGGUCCAUUCCUCAUGGUGAUUGUUUAGUGAUGGCUGCUUUAGGUUGAGCUUGUUCAGCACUAGUUACUUUCUAUAUUUAGUGUUAAUCAAUUGAUUUAUGGCAAUUAAGAAGCAGUUUUUUAUGUAUAUUUUGUAUAUUUUUAACAAGUAACUAUCGAGUAAAUAGUUGUUUUUAAA
Long non-coding RNA from Lagopus muta (rock ptarmigan), 505 nucleotides. RefSeq lists it as uncharacterized. The record is from RefSeq and is a predicted model, not a curated record. Lineage: Eukaryota; Metazoa; Chordata; Aves; Galliformes; Phasianidae. The transcript has 3 exons.